GAUGAAGAACGUAGCGAAAUGCGAUAAGUAAUGUGAAUUGCAGAAUUCAGUGAAUCAUCGAAUCUUUGAACGCACAUUGCGCCCGCCAGUAUUCUGGCGGGCAUGCCUGUUCGAGCGUCAUUUCAACCAUCAAGCCCCCGGCUCGUGUUGGGGACCUGCGGCUGCCGCAGGCCCUGAAAAGCAGUGGCGGGCUCGCUGUCACACCGAGCGUAGUAGCAUACAUCUCGCUCUGGGCGUGCUGCGGGUUCCGGCCGUUAAACCACCUUCAUAACCCAAGGUUGACCUCGGAUCAGGUAGGAAGACCCGCUGAACUUAAGCAUAUCAAUAAGCGGAGGA
This 336-nucleotide unclassified non-coding RNA is filed under the name soil metagenome. Its description in RNAcentral is "partial contains 5.8S ribosomal RNA, internal transcribed spacer 2, and large subunit ribosomal RNA". The stretch from base 1 to 120 matches the Rfam family "5.8S ribosomal RNA", at positions 35 to 154 of the family's 154-position model. The record is from RNAcentral.